AGAUCAUGAACAGCUUAAAUUAAAUCAUUCACGCGCCAGUUUGAAGAUCAUCAUAUUGUCGUUUGCAAUUACAAUUCCCUGACCGCCGCCACCGUCGUCCUUGUCGUUCACAACCUCGGAACCAUCGCCGUCGCUAUUUAGAUUGAACUUCAUUGUAGUUGACCACUUUGAAGAAAUAGCUGUCGCUGCUUAGAUUGGACUGAAGGGAAGUAAGAAGCCCUAAAUACCUGCCCACUCCUAUCCCCUGCUUCUUUCUCAGACCCAAAGGAAUUGGCUGAUUUAAACGCGUCAGUUCGGGAGAGAUUCAAUAAUUUACCCGAUUUUAAUCCAAUAAAUUGAGCAAGCUCCAUCAAUGGCGGGUAUCAACAUUGCCUACCUCUGGCUUGUUGUUCUCUUUAGCUUCCCCCUCUGUCUCCUUGCUCUCCUAGUUCUAAUUGUUAGGCCCCGCCCUGUCAAGAUUCCUAUAAAAAACCGCCAUGUGUUCAUCACUGGUGGAUCAAGUGGAAUUGGGUUGGCUUUGGCUCAUCAAGUCGCAUUGGAAGGGGCUCAAGUGUCCAUCCUAGCCCGUUCCCUCGAAAAGCUCAAGGAAGCAAAGCACAUGAUCCAGCUUUCCACUGGUGUUGAUGUGGCAAUUUUUGCAGCAGAUGUGAGGGAUUUUGACUCCAUACAAAAGGUGGUGGCUGAGGCAGGCCCUAUUGAUGUUUUGGUGGUGAAUCAAGGUGUUUUUCUGCCUCAAGAGCUAGAGAAGCAGGAAUUGGAUGAGGUCAGGUUCAUGAUAGAUGUGAACUUGAUGGGAAGUUUUAACAUGAUUAAAGCUGCUUUGCCCGGAAUGAAGACUAGGAAUGGGCGUGGGCCUGCCUCUAUUGCUCUCAUGUCAUCUCAGGCUGGUCAGGUGGGCAUAUAUGGUUACACUGCUUAUUCAGCUAGUAAGUUUGGCCUUCGGGGUUUAGCAGAAGCAUUACAACAGGAGGUCAUUGCAGAUGACAUCCAUGUCUCCCUUAUAUUCCCUCCUGACACAGAGACUCCUGGUCUUGCUGAAGAAAACAAAAGAAGGCCACAACUCACAAGUAUCAUUGCUGCCUCCUCUGGUGCAAUGAAAGCAGAUGAAGUUGCCAAAAAAGCUUUAGAUGGCAUCAAAUCUGGUAGUUUUGUUGUCCCAUGCAACAUUGAGGGAUCCUUAUUGGCCAUAGCAACUGCUGGUUUAUCCCCACAAAGAUCAUUCUUAAUGGCAUUUGUUGAGGUGGUUGCUGCUGGUCUAAUACGUUUAAUUGCUCUUUGUUUCCAGUGGAAUUGGUAUGGAAGUAUAGAAAAGUGGCACGCACAAAAGAAAUAGCAAGCAUUCAGUAUCACCCUCAUGUAAUUUCUUUUUUGUGUGAUGAAUAGAGCGCCUGGUUCGUCAGAUGGUGUUAACCUUUUGUGUU
RNAcentral lists this unclassified non-coding RNA (1421 nucleotides) under Hevea brasiliensis (rubber tree). Lineage: Eukaryota; Viridiplantae; Streptophyta; Magnoliopsida; Malpighiales; Euphorbiaceae. The record is from RNAcentral.